Hydra vulgaris (swiftwater hydra) is the source of this 146-nucleotide non-coding RNA. NCBI's taxonomy places the organism in Eukaryota, Metazoa, Cnidaria, Hydrozoa, Anthoathecata, Hydridae. The record is from RefSeq and is a predicted model, not a curated record.
AUUUUUAGAGCAGUUAAGACAAAAUGAUCGCUUUUUUAGAAAAAUGAUAAGGAAUAGAAAAACUGCUCUGAAAUUUGUCAAAAGAGUGUUGUGUUAUGCUUCAUUUUAAGCAACUACUACUCAGGUAUCACCACAGCUUAUCUCUA